UCUAGACGCUUCUGCUUGACAUUUCCCACCAUAAUAGCCUCGUUGCAUGUGUUAGUGAACCAAUAUGGAGUGGAAAUAGAAGUGGUUCUUCUCAUUCCUACCCCUAACGAUUCACUAGCAAAAUGCUACUUCUCAUUCCUAAAACUUAGGGCACUGCUGAUUUAGAGGUAUUAGUUUCCAAGAGAAAGAUGUCUCCCCCGGGGGAGACAAAAAAUGAUCCUAUUAACAUAGGGACUAACAUAUGCCACCUGGCUACUUUGAGUUUGGUUUUCAGAAAUCUCAAUCCUGCAGCUACAGGAAAUAAAGGUUUAUUUUACGGCAAUCACAGAACAAUCCUGCUCCCUUACGUAUGUCUUGAGUUGGGAACUUAUAGCCCUUUGCUUAUAGUUUUCUUUCUCCAAGUUCUUGAGUGCACUCAGAAGCAACCAACUAACCUUAUUGUACUCUUUAUUUCCAUUACAGUGUUCAGUGGUAGCAACUACUUGGUCACCCAGAGCCCUGCCUACUGUAGGUAUCUGGUUCUAGCUGAGUUCAGGUGGUAACUAAUGUACCUGUCUUGCCACCACCUGCCACGGUCUACCGGUGUCUCCUUUACCAUGAGCAAUAGGGUCAUUAAUGCCUUUAAAUCUAAUCAUAUUAACUCAAGAUUCCCAUCCUUAAGGUUCUAUUCUCUGGAACUAUUUCUACUACCUAUAAGGCAUUUGCUAUCAAUUUGAUAAUGAUACUAAUGGUGUUAGUCAGGGCUCCGUCAGGAAGGGAGAAAUAGUAACAGUAAUUGUGUAAUAAGGGAUUUAGUAGAGGAACAAAGCUUUAAACAUUUUUGGAGAAACUAGGGAAAUAAGCAUAUGAAUGGAAAAGUUGGAAGAUCAGAGAAAAGUCACUAAUCAACCUUCUCAAAUCAGGCAUAUCCAACUGUUAGAGCAGGAUCUAAAGAGCUGGUGGAGAAGUUUAUGUGGGACACUGUUUCUUCUCCAUCUGGGGGUUGGCUCGGGGUUGCUGUGGGUCAGAAGGGCUAGAUUUGCUGAGAAAAGCUUGAUGUGGAAUGAGGGAAAAUGAGUACAGCCUGGAACCUGCUGGCACCUGUAAUCAUGACAGCCUUCCGAGAGUAAUUGCUAUUGCUGCACUUCUCUGCCUUCCAACUUCAGCAACUCUAAUCUGGAACUAUGCAGGGAAGAGAAUUCUGGGAAAUAUUGUUUCAACCUACCCAAACCACCACAGUACAAAACCGCCACAUGCCAUGUAUUAGCUGCCUGAUGUUGAGCAAGUUGUUUCAUGUCUGUGAGUUUCUCUAAGUCUCUUUUCCAUCUCAGGAUUUGGACAUUGUCUUCUGGAACAUUGUCUCGGGUUUUCUGGAAUAUGCCCUGUUGCUGCGUAUGUCCCACUUACAGGCCUCUUGACAGGGGCACUACCUCCUCUCACUGGCCACCUAUGACUCCCUCUCAGCCCUAGGAUUUGUGGCGGCCUUUCCCUAGCUGGGGUUACCUAGCCCUUCCAGGCAGCCCUCUUGGGCAGUCCGCAUAGGCCCUCGGAAAACAUACAAACAUCUGUGGUCUGCUGAGCUCUGGAUGUGCAGCUUGCUCCCAAGAGAGUUCUCUGGGCUUACUGUCCAGGACCGCAAGCCGACCAUAGCCACUGACCUUUAGAUCAUUUUCAGGCCUGAGUCCCUCUGUCCCCCGCUGUCCAAUUGAUUUAAGUCAAGAUCUUUUGAGUUCUUUUCUGCAAUCCCCCUAGGUAGGGUAUAGUAAGGAUCAACAGCUAAAUCUUCCCCUUGGCUGGGGAAGGGAGGAAGUGGCAAUCCUCUCCAGAUAGAUCAUCACUACCACCUGCCUUUCUACUUGAACUCUUAGCCCUCUCUUAUAUAUUGUGGAGGUGGGUAAUGGACUAUUGAUCACCCCUUUUACAAAUCUGUAGAAAUACUCUACCAUCUUGAUUAGAAUGUGGGGGUAGUUAAGAAUAGUUGAUACCUAGCUUUCUUUUCCGAACUUUGGAGCCUCUGUCCACAUUUUGAGAUGGGGAAAGUCCCAUUUAACAUACUGUUACCUAUAUAAAGAGCCUAGCAUGAUGCUUAACACAUGGUAGACAUUCACUAAUAGAGGCGAUGAUGGAUUGCCAAACACGUGGAUCGAUCCAGACUUCUAAAUGGCUGGAAUCCUCUCCCCCUAAACCAGUCUAAAAAGGAGUUUGUAGCCUCAUGUAAGGCUUAAGAGGUAGUUGCCUGGUCCUCCUUAUGCCCAGUCCACGUGUCUAUUACAAAUACAAUGUCUAGAGCCACCUGAGUCUAGUAUCUCCUGUACCCAUGCACACACCCAGAUCCACAACCCACACUCAGGGACGAAUUGCAAGCCCAAGGAAGUCAGGAACCAGCUUAGCUGCUCACACUGGGGGAAGAGAGAAAUGAGCUUUCUCCUGUUCUGAACUCACAUCUCAGCCACAGAAGGUGGAGUGGGAACAUGCAGUCGGGUGCUGAGCCAUGUGUAGCCAGCAUGCCCUGGUCUGACAUGCAGGCUGGCAUCUGUCUUCAUUAGUCAGUCUCUGUGCUAAUCUAGUUUUUAUAUAUUUUUGAGUAGCAGCCUUGUUUGUGGGCAUGGAGAUACUCCAAUCCACAGAUGCACAGAAACACCAGCAGCAUAUGUAUAUACACAGCACAUGCAGUUACUUUCCUUAAGUUUAAAAGCAGAAGCUACAUGAAUUUGGAAAAUAUAAACUCAGCUGACUGACCUGGGGUGUGAUAACAUACUAAGGAAGCAUUCUUCUAUUUCAAAGUCUUUCUCUUGGCCUCUUAGCCUUUGUGACUUCAUUUCUUCCGUUGUUAGGUCUCACAAGUGGCACCGGAAAGGGUUAAAGGAGACACAAGCACAGCCUCCAAGAAAUCCCAAACCCAGAAAUACACAACCCAGAGUUGUCAUUUUCCAGAUUGCAGGCACGUACUGAGAAAGAUUCAAUUAAAACACUAGGGCUGGGAUUGGCAAAAGUUUUCUAUAAAGGGUCCGACAGUAAAUAUUUUAGGCCUUCUGGGACAUAUGGUCUCUUUGCAAUGUCUCAGUUCUGCUGUCCUAGCAGGAAAGUAGUCAUAGACAAAACAAACAAGUGAGAGCAGUGAUGUUCCAAUGAAAUUUUAUUUGCAAAAGGAGUCAGUGGGCCAAAUUCAGCCCACGGGCCUUAGUUUGCAGUUUCCCACUCUAGAAUCUAAAGAAGCCAGAAGCCAUCAAGACUGGCUUCACAGGUAUUCCAAAGGUUGAUAAGGCCUUCAUACUAUGUCCUCCAAAAAGGAAAAAAAUCAACUAUUUUGGGUGUGGCAUCAGUUUUCUUCUAUUACAUGCUGUGCCUUGAUAUUUUGAUGUUCAUCUGAAUGAGUUAUCCCAGUCCCUCCUUUUUGUCUUUACGUCUCUCUUUCUGUGUAUAUUUCUCUAAAGGCUUCCCAUUCUUCAUUCUGUCCCCUUGCACUCACAGGGUUUGGAGACUUUAGAAUAAGACCCCUUCACAUCCAUCCUUGCUACAAUCCUGGCUUCUUUUCAGGUUCCUCAUCUGUACUGGAGUACAGAGGCAUGUAAAGAACACUUGUCUGGAUCACUGGGUAGGACAUACUGUGUGACUUUGAGCCAAUCACCUAACCUCUCUGAGCCUCCCUUUCCAAAUCUGUCAAAGGGAAAAGUUGCCUAAUUGAUCUCUAAAAUUCCUUCUAGCUCUAAGCGUAUGAUUUUAGGAAGCUUCAGCCUCAACCUGAGGCAACUGUCUGGGACCAUUAAUUAUGAUGUCACUCUCAGACCUUAAUGAGACUGCCAGGAGGUCACAGAAAUUAGCCACAUGAUCUCUGGUAGUCGGCAACCUUCCUAAGGCCUCACAGCUGAGGAGGUGAGGAUACCAGAUAAUGUGAGAGAAUCUGGAGAGUCCAGCCCGCUGACAAAUGACUCCAGGACCCCUAUGCUCCAGGAAAAUUAGUUUGCAUUCCUAAACUGCCUUUGAAGUUGCUACAAAACGUGCAGUAAUAUUGACUUAGUUGGAAACAUGACCCUAGGGAGCUACUGUUGGAGGUGGGAGGCUUUCUUUUCUCCACCAGACCCUCUUGUGUUGUGUGGAGCUCUCCUGGCUGUGUAAGGGACACCCCUCAAAGCCCACCAAAUAAAUAUAUGAGUAGGUCUUGAGGAAAUGGAGGUAAAUCCCAGCAUAUGCCAAAGGAAAGAGGCUUUUUCUGUCAGCAGAGAUGAGGGACAUCAGGGAGGGUCAGGGAACCAGGACCUUGGGUGAGGCGGGAGCAGGUGGAAGUUGGCAGUUGAGGUGGGGGCAGUGGGGGAAUUUAACACAAAAUCACCCCCAUUCUCUUGGCUCAUAGUCCAGUCGUUUGUGGAUGCAGCAGAUGGGCAGGGGGCUGGCGCCCUCCCUCUGCCUCCUGGACACAGUCUCAAGGGAUGGGGAGGGAGUGGAGAAGUCCUCCUGGCCUCCAGGAAAGCAGGCUCUUAUUGUCUGACUCUGCUAAAGCUGCCUCAUUUGUAGCCUAAAUAAUUCACUCACCAAUCUCUCAAGGAACAUUAGAAGAAAAACAAAACCCAACCCAGCCCUCAUGCUCAGGUUCCCACUGCAGGCAAGUCCGGCCAGGAGGCUGGCAGGCAAUCCCAAGCUGCAGAGAUGGCCUGCCUUCAAAGGUUCAUCGGACAGGCAACCUUCCAAAAAUGGCCUGGGGUCUGGUUUUGGACAGCUUUUUGAGCUAAGAAUGGUUUUUACAUUUUUAAAAGGCUUUUUAAAAAGACAAAACAAAACAAAAAAACAGCAGCAAAGAAAAAUUUGUCAGAGACUUCCAGUGGCCUGCAAAGCCUAAAAUAAUCGCUAUCUGGCCCUUUCCAGAAGACUUGCCAGUCCCUUAAUCCAUUCCCUGGUCUUGAAGGAAGUGAUGACAACCUCUGACCUAUUCCUUCACUUACCCCACUCCCUGACACCACUAGGUGCAGAGAUUCAAAGUUGGCAGACUUCUGAUAUUUACAGUCUAGUGAGAAGCUGGCAUCAUUUCCCACUCCAUUACCAAAAGCAGAACUAAAUACAAACAGGAAGAUAAACCCUCGAGUAGGGUGAACAGUCUUGGUUUGGCUGCUUGGGGAAGAAGGGAAAGAAGCAGGGAGAGGCUGAGAUUCAGCCUCAACCCAUCCUCUGGGGGGAGAAUUCAACAUUGGUCUCUGCUGACACCCCUCCCCUCGAGCUCCACUCCCUUCCAUACACGCCCUGUGAUCCUGGUGAUCCCAGCUGAUCCCAGCUCAUCUUCACAGUCACUGAGCCUGUAAUUCUUUUACUGAUGAGAUAUCCAACUAGCCCAUAUCUCUGAGUCUCUGAAGCCUGCGUGUCAUUCUGACUCUGACAAACCUCAAUCCUGGACAGAGGCUCCAUCUAGCCCUGCAAGGGCUCCUCUACUGCCCAGCAGGGCCUUUGAAGGGAGAGGACUGUGACCAUCUCUGGACUCCACCCAGAGCCUCUCCUGAAGCCAGAGCCUCUGGGAGUUACAUACAAGCCUAAGCAUUCGGGGAGGGAUGCGUCAGCCUAGACAAUAGGGCUGCCAGCUCAGAGUGUCUCAGGUGUAACUGGGCCAAGUGACCUCUGAGCUGUCAUGGGGGUUGUUAGUAAUUUUGGAGGCUGAAGGCAGAGUGGAGAUCCGGUGGUCCCACCUAGCAUCUAGGUAUUCUGGAUUACUUCAGAUAACAAGGACCUGUUCUGGCAUCUCCCAAGAAAAAUGGUGCUGCUCUCCUGCCAGUCCUUUGCAGCCUCCUGUUCCUGCAAACAUGGAAGGCCCAGGUUGGAAUCCCACAUCCGGGCUAAGUGAAAGGUCUGAGAGAUUUGGGAUCCCAAACUGGGAGAUCUUGACCAACUCAUCUUAGCCUCGGGGACUCAGCUUCCUCAUCUGUUGAAAUAAGCAAACAAACAAAAACCUGAGGUGCUUGGAUGGUGGUAAUUUUAAGGUCCCGUCCGUCCCAUACCCAAUGAAUAGCCCAAACCAGGCCACACCUCUGCAGAAGCUUUGCUGGAAAGUUGACUGGCUUCAUCUCAGCUUUCCUUCCCCAAGUCAACCCGGUCUCAUGCAAAUGAGAUACAGCUGGUCUCUCAUCAAGGGGAGGGGGUUUCCCCUCAGCACGUUGGCAGCUUGCUGGGUGUUCAGACCCAUGUGAGGGAGGGAAGUGGAGGGGAGUGGAUUUGACCUCUUGUCUUCAUGCCUUGUGGCGAGGAGGUGGCUGAAGGGCCGUGGGAGUCUCACCCUCGCACCCCCAACAGGCCCACAGCAUGUGACCCGGAAGCCGCACACAGUGUCUUAACCUGAAUUAGCUCAAUUGUCUUUCAACAGCUCUCCAAUUUGACUGGACAUCCCUCAAGGGCAGGGACGGUAUCUUGACCUUCUUCUGGGUCCCCCAGGAGAACCCAGCACAACACUAGGUAUGUGGCCGGAGAUCCGUCCUUAUCGGCUGAGCAACUCAGUUGAAAUGUCCCUGGAAAAAGUGAUCUUGCACUUGGCACAGGGCGUGUGUCCAGGACCUGACAUUUUCUGGGAGUCAGACUCCCCCUGGGAAGAAGAGGAAACGAAGGCAUAUGGAGCAUUAGGGAUUUGCCCAGGACACAUAAGAUUUCAAAUCCAGAGUCCCUAACUCCAGUCCCUGGAGUCGAGAUAGUCCAGGGGACUGACCAGGGAUGUGCCCACACGUUUCACGGAUCUCCCCUUGGGAUGCCGACAGCCUAGACUCCCAGGCUCCCGUGCCCCCGGUUCCAGCCCACGUGAAAGGGGAAGCGUAGGGUGGGGUGAAGUGGCCAUCGCUGGAUACCUUGGUGGUUUUGACUUUGUGUCCGCUGCUGCAGCUCCAUCCCGACAGGUCCGGGAGCACUUUACACUCCUCCCCCGGCAGGCAGGGCUCCAUCUGACACCACCACUUCUGCAGGACGAUGGAGGCUGUGGGAGCAGGAGGCAGUGAGGGCAGCUCUAAGCUGUCCUGGAGUACAGCGUGCAGUCAAGGGUGGGGAGUCUGUGCGGAAUGAAGUGCAAGUUUGCACACCGCUGGCUGUGAGCCCUGCCUUCCCCUGUCUUUCCCCGACUCCGGGCUGCUCAGAAAGGCAGUACUCAGGCUGAGGCUGGGGCACACAACCGUAUCAAAGUCAAUCCCACUGACCCCUACGUGUCGCCAAGACAGCACGGGGUGAAGGCAGGGGAAGUUCUCCAGGGAACCCUUCAGUUGAGUCACCAUGGCAUUAGCAGAGAGGCACGGUCUUCAACAUACCCACUUGGUGUAUGUGAGCAAGUGUGAAAGGGCUCCACAGACCAGGAGUGCAAAGCAGGCGUGCAUGUGAGCACAAGUGGGCACGUUUACAACAUGGUCACGUGAGUGUGAGCCUACAAGCAUGGGUGCAAUCAUGGGGGGGAGGGGGGAGUGAAACAUCUGUGUCCAUGUGAGGGGAAGGUCAGGGCCACAGGAGAAUGGGCAGGGGUGUGUGUGUGUGUGUGUGUGUGUGUGUGUAAGAGACCUCGGAGGCGCAGGAGGAGAGGUCAAGGUCUGGGGGAGUUAAGUGUGAGUCUGGCAGGAUAUGUGAGAGGAUUCGUGUGACAGAAUGCGUCUGCGUAGCGCCUGGCAGCGAAUGUGGAUGAGAGGGAGGGAUGAAGUGGGGACGGUCCGUCUGCCCUCCUCCCCCCAGAGGUACCCCGCAUUUGAGACUGAUUGCCAAAGCCCUGGGAUGGUAUGAAACCAUAUCCCGAGCAGAUGGUGUGGCCUAGACAGACCUCCUUAUCUCUGUGAUCGGGCCCUCCCCGCCGGGUCCCGGCCUCUCACUCACCGUCCACGCAGGAGGGCUUUGCCCGCGUGGUGCCGGCCACCUGGCCGGGAAAGCAAGAGCAUUUGACAGUCUGGGAGCGCUCCUCGAUGCGGUUCCGGUUGCAGCAGCGACGAGCGGCAAUCACCUCGCAGGUGCCCUGCUUCACAAGGACUGAAGUGGCCAGACAAGAUGAGGUGCCCAGCCCAGGCCUGCAACCCUGCUCCCCUCCCACCUGCCCUGCACAUCCUCCAGGCCCUCCUCCCCGCCGAGGGGAGGGGUGUUCAAGAGAUUUCCAACUGCAGGGGAGGAGGAAACACAGGAAAUCCUCCUGCUGCUUCAGUGUUCCUAUCCUUCCUUCUUCCUCAGUCAGGCCACACUCAGCCCUCUUUGGCGGAGCCUGGCCCUUGGGUGGAAGAGAGGUAGGAUUCCCCACCAGCCCCCACUUCCUCUGGUUUUGUCCGGUUGAGGGCAAGGGCCCCGGGGGCUUACAAUGCGUGGAGAGGAUCGUGGAGAGGAUCAUCCGCUUACACAGGCUUUAGCCAUCCCAGAAGGAAAACCACAGAAUUAGGCCAGGAGGCAAGACUUAAGCCUCCACCCCAGGGCCUCUCUCCCUGCAGAACACCUUCUGGCCUGGAAGGAAAGCUUCUGUCUGUUCAUCCACUGGCCUCAGACUCACUCUACCUGGACAAAUGCAGGCUAUGGGGAGGCUGAGUUAGCAGCCCGCAUACCAGCGUGGAGUCGAGGAUGUGGACCACAAGAGCCUUUAAGCUUGCACUGCCUUCUCCCGGCCUCCUCCAGCGCUCGCCCACUCCUCCAAAUUCUGAGCCCCCACCCUCCGGAUCUAUCUGCCCCACGGCGGUGCCCACUUGCCUCUGAG
Felis catus (domestic cat) is the source of this 8647-nucleotide RNA transcript. It is a transcript of the gene named translation initiation factor IF-2-like, with no coding region annotated. The record is from RefSeq and is a predicted model, not a curated record. The transcript has 4 exons. NCBI's taxonomy places the organism in Eukaryota, Metazoa, Chordata, Mammalia, Carnivora, Felidae.